AGAAUCAACGCUGGCGGCGUGCCUAACACAUGCAAGUCGAACGAGAAAGUGGAGCAAUCCAUGAGUAAAGUGGCGCACGGGUGAGUAACACGUGACUAACCUACCCUUGAGUGGGGAUAACUGAGGGAACCUUAGCUAAUACCGCAUAAUACCCACGGGUCAAAGGAGCAAUUCGCUCGAGGAGGGGUCGCGGCCGAUUAGUUAGUUGGCGGGGUAAUGGCCCACCAAGACGAUGAUCGGUA
This 242-nucleotide ribosomal RNA is filed under the name uncultured bacterium. RNAcentral's name for it is "partial small subunit ribosomal RNA". It matches the Rfam family "Bacterial small subunit ribosomal RNA", at positions 26 to 285 of the family's 1533-position model. The record is from RNAcentral.